GUUGACUCUGUGGGCCUCCAUCCGGCCUGUUGGGAAACUUCCAGAGACAUCCCCAGGGAGGGGGUUCAGAGAGCUUCCUGGCCUGUGGACACACGCAGGUGUGGGGAGAGAGGUGCUCCCGGAGACGCCACGGGAGUUCUGCCCCCUUCCCCACACCUGGCCCUGUGCAUGACUCCUCUGGCUGGUCCUGAGUCCUGUCCUGUCACCAUCAACCGUGGCCCGUCCAGGAUCCAUCCUGGGACCCCACGUUACAUCUUGGUCACGGCGGCUGACUGUCCUCCUGCAUGGGGAAGGCCCUACAUCUUUCCUGAUCUUUCGUGACCCGAACACUUGAAGAAUAACGAGAGACAGAGCAUGAACGGGGGAGGGGCAGAGAGAGAGGGAGAC
Molecule: long non-coding RNA, 387 nt
Organism: Leopardus geoffroyi (Geoffroy's cat)
Lineage: Eukaryota; Metazoa; Chordata; Mammalia; Carnivora; Felidae
Exons: 3
Source: RefSeq, a predicted model, not a curated record